UUACAAUUUAACGUUGCGUCUUUUGUUUUCUUUUAUUUUUGAGUGUAAAUUGACAUUGCGAUAAGACGUGUCACGGUACUUGUCUAUCACAAAUUCAUGUAUUUGGUUUUGAUGUUAUAUUUGUUAUUCUCGUGGGAUUUUGUCUGAUGCUUGGUCCGUUUCUGUGUGUGUUAGUUACAUUGUAGUGUUGUGUCGUUGUUCUCCUCUUAUAUUUAUGCGUUUCCG
This 225-nucleotide long non-coding RNA is filed under the name Mytilus galloprovincialis (Mediterranean mussel). Lineage: Eukaryota; Metazoa; Mollusca; Bivalvia; Mytilida; Mytilidae. The record is from RNAcentral.